RNAcentral lists this small nuclear RNA (20 nucleotides) under Arabidopsis thaliana (thale cress). Its description in RNAcentral is "snRNA_07172". Lineage: Eukaryota; Viridiplantae; Streptophyta; Magnoliopsida; Brassicales; Brassicaceae. The record is from RNAcentral.
GGGUGAAAUCCGAGAAACAA